GAUCCUGGCUCAGGAUGAACGCUAGCUACAGGCUUAACACAUGCAAGUCGAGGGGCGAGCAUGGUCUUAGCUUGCUAAGGCCGAUGGCGACCGGCGCACGGGUGAGUAACACGUAUCCAACCUGCCGUCUACUCUUGGACAGCCUUCUGAAAGGAAGAUUAAUACAAGAUGGCAUCAUGAGUCCGCAUGUUCACAUGAUUAAAGAAUUUCGGUUAUCGAUGGGGA
RNAcentral lists this ribosomal RNA (225 nucleotides) under uncultured bacterium. RNAcentral's name for it is "partial 16S ribosomal RNA". It matches the Rfam family "Bacterial small subunit ribosomal RNA", at positions 15 to 231 of the family's 1533-position model. The record is from RNAcentral.